RNAcentral lists this ribosomal RNA (495 nucleotides) under uncultured bacterium. Its description in RNAcentral is "partial 16S ribosomal RNA". It matches the Rfam family "Bacterial small subunit ribosomal RNA", at positions 28 to 507 of the family's 1533-position model. The record is from RNAcentral.
GGUGAACGCUGGCGGCGUGCUUAACACAUGCAAGUCGAACGAAGCACCUCUCCCGAAGAUUGACACAGCUUGCUGUAGAUUGAUUCAUUUGAGGUGACUGAGUGGCGGACGGGUGAGUAACGCGUGGGUAACCUGCCUCAUAGAGGGGGACAACAGUUGGAAACGACUGCUAAUACCGCAUAGUAAGAAGAAUUCGCAUGUUUUCUUCUUGAAAGAUUUAUCGCUAUGAGAUGGACCCGCGUCUGAUUAGCUAGUUGGUAAGGUAACGGCUUACCAAGGCGACGAUCAGUAGCCGGCUUGAGAGAGUGAACGGCCACAUUGGGACUGAGACACGGCCCAAACUCCUACGGGAGGCAGCAGUGGGGAAUAUUGCACAAUGGGGGAAACCCUGAUGCAGCGACGCCGCGUGAGUGAAGAAGUAUUUCGGUAUGUAAAGCUCUAUCAGCAGGGAAGAUAAUGACGGUACCUGACUAAGAAGCCCCGGCUAACUACGUG